GAUGAACGCUGGCGGCGUGCUUAACACAUGCAAGUCGAACGGAAAGGCUCCUGCUUGCCGGGGUCCUCGAGUGGCGAACGGGUGAGUAACACGUGGGUGAUCUGCCCUGCACUUCGGGAUAAGCCUGGGAAACUGGGUCUAAUACCGGAUAGGACGAUGGUUUGGAUGCCAUUGUGGAAAGUUUUUCGGUGUGGGAUGAGCCCGCGGCCUAUCAGCUUGUUGGUGGGGUAAUGGCCUACCAAGGCGUCGACGGGUAGCCGGCCUGAGAGGGUGUACGGCCACAUUGGGACUGAGAUACGGCCCAGACUCCUACGGGAGGCAGCAGUGGGGAAUAUUGCACAAUGGGCGCAAGCCUGAUGCAGCGACGCCGCGUGGGGGAUGACGGCCUUCGGGUUGUAAACUCCUUUCGCUAGGGACGAAGCGAAAGUGACGGUACCUGGAGAAGAAGCACCGGCUAACUACGUG
RNAcentral lists this ribosomal RNA (465 nucleotides) under uncultured bacterium. RNAcentral's name for it is "partial 16S ribosomal RNA". It matches the Rfam family "Bacterial small subunit ribosomal RNA", at positions 28 to 507 of the family's 1533-position model. The record is from RNAcentral.